This 609-nucleotide ribosomal RNA is filed under the name Dietzia sp. RNAcentral describes it as "bacterial SSU rRNA". It matches the Rfam family "Bacterial small subunit ribosomal RNA", at positions 388 to 1006 of the family's 1533-position model. The record is from RNAcentral. Lineage: Bacteria; Bacillati; Actinomycetota; Actinomycetes; Mycobacteriales; Dietziaceae.
GCAGCGACGCCGCGUGGGGGAUGACGGUCUUCGGAUUGUAAACCCCUUUCAGUAGGGACGAAGCGCAAGUGACGGUACCUGCAGAAGAAGCACCGGCUAACUACGUGCCAGCAGCCGCGGUAAUACGUAGGGUGCGAGCGUUUGUCCGGAAUUACUGGGCGUAAAGAGCUCGUAGGCGGUUUGUCACGUCGUCUGUGAAAUCCCUCGGCUUAACCGGGGGCGUGCAGGCGAUACGGGCAGACUUGAGUACUACAGGGGAGACUGGAAUUCCUGGUGUAGCGGUGAAAUGCGCAGAUAUCAGGAGGAACACCGGUGGCGAAGGCGGGUCUCUGGGUAGUAACUGACGCUGAGGAGCGAAAGCAUGGGUAGCGAACAGGAUUAGAUACCCUGGUAGUCCAUGCCGUAAACGGUGGGCGCUAGGUGUGGGGUCCUUCCACGGACUCCGUGCCGUAGCUAACGCAUUAAGCGCCCCGCCUGGGGAGUACGGCCGCAAGGCUAAAACUCAAAGGAAUUGACGGGGGCCCGCACAAGCGGCGGAGCAUGUGGAUUAAUUCGAUGCAACGCGAAGAACCUUACCUAGGCUUGACAUAUACAGGACGACGGCAGAGA